Molecule: ribosomal RNA, 467 nt
Filed under: uncultured bacterium
Lineage: Bacteria
Description: partial 16S ribosomal RNA
Rfam family: Bacterial small subunit ribosomal RNA
Source: RNAcentral
ACGAACGCUGGCGGCGUGCUUAACACAUGCAAGUCGAACGGAAAGGCCCUGCUUUUGUGGGGUGCUCGAGUGGCGAACGGGUGAGUAACACGUGAGUAACCUGCCCUUGACUUUGGGAUAACUUCAGGAAACUGUGGCUAAUACCGGAUAGGAGCUCCUGCUUCAUGGUGGGGGUUGGAAAGUUUCGGCGGUUGGGGAUGGACUCGCGGCUUAUCAGCUUGUUGGUGGGGUAGUGGCUUACCAAGGCUUUGACGGGUAGCCGGCCUGAGAGGGUGACCGGCCACAUUGGGACUGAGAUACGGCCCAGACUCCUACGGGAGGCAGCAGUGGGGAAUAUUGCACAAUGGGCGGAAGCCUGAUGCAGCAACGCCGCGUGCGGGAUGACGGCCUUCGGGUUGUAAACCGCUUUCGCCUGUGACGAAGCGUGAGUGACGGUAAUGGGUAAAGAAGCACCGGCUAACUACGUG